GCCAGGCAGGCACAAAGGUCCCAGCCUGUAGUCCCAGCUACUCGGAGGCUGAGGUGGGAGGAUCGCUUGAGCCCAGGAGUUCUGGGCUGUAUGUGCUAUGCUGAUCAGGUGUCCACACUAAGUUCGGCAUCAGUAUGGUAACCAUCUGAGAGCGGGGGACCACCAGGUUGCCUAAGGAGUGGUGAACUGGCCCAGGUCAGAAACGGAGCAGGUCAAAACUCCCGUGCUGAUCAGUAGUGGGAUUGUGCCUGUGAAGAGCCACUGUACUCCAGCCUGGUCAACAUAGCGAGACCCCAUCUCUA
Callithrix jacchus (white-tufted-ear marmoset) is the source of this 302-nucleotide unclassified non-coding RNA. It matches the Rfam family "Metazoan signal recognition particle RNA". Rfam says of the family: The signal recognition particle (SRP) is a universally conserved ribonucleoprotein. Lineage: Eukaryota; Metazoa; Chordata; Mammalia; Primates; Cebidae. The record is from Ensembl.